AAUAAAUGCACAAACAUACCUGCAUGCUGAGUUACUAACAGUGUGCAAAGAGGAUUGCAUUUCUCAAAUGUGCAACAUGGCAUGUAUUGUCA
This is a long non-coding RNA of Thalassophryne amazonica, 92 nucleotides long. RefSeq lists it as uncharacterized. NCBI's taxonomy places the organism in Eukaryota, Metazoa, Chordata, Actinopteri, Batrachoidiformes, Batrachoididae. The transcript has 3 exons. The record is from RefSeq and is a predicted model, not a curated record.